Molecule: long non-coding RNA, 382 nt
Filed under: Crocodylus porosus (Australian saltwater crocodile)
Lineage: Eukaryota; Metazoa; Chordata; Crocodylia; Crocodylidae
Description: lncRNA (ENSCPRG00005001866.1)
Source: RNAcentral
AGUAGUUGCUAGCUUAGUUACUAAAGAAGAGAGAUUUUCUUUUCCCAUUUAUCAGAUAGUUAAAAUGUGUUUUUUCCAGUGGGUAUCAGUGAGCCAGAAUUAAAACUCAGAAUGCAACAGACAAGUGAAGAAUUUCAGACAUAGACAUUACAGGAGUCCUAAAACAGCAGAAACCUCAUUGAGCUGCAGAUCUCACAUCCCAGUUUACAGUGUUUCUUCCCAACAGAGCAGAGGCUAGUGUUGGUUUCCUUAUUUUGGCUUGGACUCCUCUCCUGUUCCAUCAGGCAAAUUAACACAAGUAAGUUAAAUCCAAGGUACUUGAAAGACAUCUGAACAGCACACAUGCACAGAGACAGGGGGAACAGUGGUGUGUGAUUGAGAG